RNAcentral lists this ribosomal RNA (427 nucleotides) under uncultured bacterium. RNAcentral describes it as "partial 16S ribosomal RNA". It matches the Rfam family "Bacterial small subunit ribosomal RNA", at positions 355 to 774 of the family's 1533-position model. The record is from RNAcentral.
UGGGGAAUAUUGCACACUGGGCGCAAGCCUGAUGCAGCCAUGCCGCGUGUAUGAAGAAGGCCUUCGGGUUGUAAAGUACUUUCAGCGGGGAGGAAGGUGUUGUGGUUAAUAACCUCAGCAAUUGACGUUACCCGCAGAAGAAGCACCGGCUAACUCCGUGCCAGCAGCCGCGGUAAUACGGAGGGUGCAAGAGUUAAUCGGAAUUACUGGGCGUAAAGCGCACGCAGGCGGUCUGUCAAGUCGGAUGUGAAAUCCCCGGGCUCAACCUGGGAACUGCAUCCGAAACUGGCAGGCUUGAGUCUUGUAGAGGGGGGUAGAAUUCCAGGUGUAGCGGUGAAAUGCGUAGAGAUCUGGAGGAAUACCGGUGGCGAAGGCGGCCCCCUGGACAAAGACUGACGCUCAGGUGCGAAAGCGUGGGGAGCAAACA